AGACCCGAAACCCGGUGAUCUAGCCAUGGGCAGGUUGAAGGUUGGGUAACACUAACUGGAGGACCGAACCGACUAAUGUUGAAAAAUUAGCGGAUGACCUGUGGCUGGGGGUGAAAGGCCAAUCAAACCGGGAGAUAGCUGGUUCUCCCCGAAAGCUAUUUAGGUAGCGCCUCGUGAAUUCAUCUCCGGGGGUAGAGCACUGUUUCGGCUAGGGGGCCAUCCCGGCUUACCAACCCGAUGCAAACUGCGAAUACCGGAGAAUGUUAUCACGGGAGACACACGGCGGGUGCUAACGUCCGUCGUGAAGAGGGAAACAACCCAGACCGCCAGCUAAGGUCCCAAAGUCAUGGUUAAGUGGGAAACGAUGUGGGAAGGCCCAGACAGCCAGGAUGUUGGCUUAGAAGCAGCCAUCAUUUAAAGAAAGCGUAAUAGCUCACUGGUCGAGUCGGCCUGCGCGGAAGAUGUAACGGGGCUAAACCAUGCACCGAAGCUGCGGCAGCGACACUGUGUGUUGUUGGGUAGGGGAGCGUUCUGUAAGCCUGUGAAGGUGUGUCGUGAGGCAUGCUGGAGGUAUCAGAAGUGCGAAUGCUGACAUAAGUAACGAUAAAGCGGGUGAAAAGCCCGCUCGCCGGAAGACCAAGGGUUCCUGUCCAACGUUAAUCGGGGCAGGGUGAGUCGACCCCUAAGGCGAGGCCGAAAGGCGUAGUCGAUGGGAAACGGGUUAAUAUUCCCGUACUUGGUGUUACUGCGAAGGGGGGACGGAGAAGGCUAUGUUGGCCGGGCGACGGUUGUCCCGGUUUAAGCGUGUAGGUGUGUGUUCCAGGUAAAUCCGGUUCACUUUAACACUGAGGCGUGACGACGAGGCACUACGGUGCUGAAGCAACAAAUGCCCUGCUUCCAGGAAAAGCCUCUAAGCAUCAGGUAACAUCAAAUCGUACCCCAAACCGACACAGGUGGUCAGGUAGAGAAUACCAAGGCGCUUGAGAGAACUCGGGUGAAGGAACUAGGCAAAAUGGUGCCGUAACUUCGGGAGAAGGCACGCUGACACGUAGGUGAAGUGAUUUACUCAUGGAGCUGAAGUCAGUCGAAGAUACCAGCUGGCUGCAACUGUUUAUUAAAAACACAGCACUGUGCAAACACGAAAGUGGACGUAUACGGUGUGACGCCUGCCCGGUGCCGGAAGGUUAAUUGAUGGGGUCAGCGCAAGCGAAGCUCCUGAUCGAAGCCCCGGUAAACGGCGGCCGUAACUAUAACGGUCCUAAGGUAGCGAAAUUCCUUGUCGGGUAAGUUCCGACCUGCACGAAUGGCGUAAUGAUGGCCAGGCUGUCUCCACCCGAGACUCAGUGAAAUUGAACUCGCUGUGAAGAUGCAGUGUACCCGCGGCAAGACGGAAAGACCCCGUGAACCUUUACUAUAGCUUGACACUGAACAUUGAGCCUUGAUGUGUAGGAUAGGUGGGAGGCUUUGAAGUGUGGACGCCAGUCUGCAUGGAGCCGACCUUGAAAUACCACCCUUUAAUGUUUGAUGUUCUAACGUGGACCCGUUACCCGGGUUGCGGACAGUGUCUGGUGGGUAGUUUGACUGGGGCGGUCUCCUCCUAAAGAGUAACGGAGGAGCACGAAGGUUGGCUAAUCCUGGUCGGACAUCAGGAGGUUAGUGCAAUGGCAUAAGCCAGCUUGACUGCGAGCGUGACGGCGCGAGCAGGUGCGAAAGCAGGUCAUAGUGAUCCGGUGGUUCUGAAUGGAAGGGCCAUCGCUCAACGGAUAAAAGGUACUCCGGGGAUAACAGGCUGAUACCGCCCAAGAGUUCAUAUCGACGGCGGUGUUUGGCACCUCGAUGUCGGCUCAUCACAUCCUGGGGCUGAAGUAGGUCCCAAGGGUAUGGCUGUUCGCCAUUUAAAGUGGUACGCGAGCUGGGUUUAGAACGUCGUGAGACAGUUCGGUCCCUAUCUGCCGUGGGCGCUGGAGAACUGAGGGGGGCUGCUCCUAGUACGAGAGGACCGGAGUGGACGCAUCACUGGUGUUCGGGUUGUCAUGCCAAUGGCACUGCCCGGUAGCUAAAUGCGGAAGAGAUAAGUGCUGAAAGCAUCUAAGCACGAAACUUGCCCCGAGAUGAGUUCUCCCUGAGACUUAGAGUCUCCUGAAGGAACGUUGAAGACGACGACGUUGAUAGGCCGGGUGUGUAAGCGCAGCGAUGCGUUGAGC
Molecule: ribosomal RNA, 2204 nt
Filed under: Salmonella enterica subsp. enterica serovar Enteritidis
Lineage: Bacteria; Pseudomonadati; Pseudomonadota; Gammaproteobacteria; Enterobacterales; Enterobacteriaceae
Description: partial 23S ribosomal RNA
Rfam family: Bacterial large subunit ribosomal RNA
Source: RNAcentral